CGAGAAAGCCCGCAAGGGUGAGUAAAGCGGCGCACGGGUGCGUAACACGUGGGUAAUCUUCCUUGGAGCCCGGAAUAACUCCCCGAAAGGGGUGCUAAUACCGGAUGAGACCACGGGAUCUUCGGAUCCUGAGGGAAAAGGCGGCCUCUGUGCACAAGCUGUCACUCCAAGAUGAGCCCGCGGCCCAUCAGCUUGUUGGCGGGGUAAUGGCCCACCAAGGCUACGACGGGUAGCUGGUCUGAGAGGACGAUCAGCCACACUGGAACUGAGACACGGUCCAGACUCCUACGGGAGGCAGCAGUGGGGAAUCUUGCGCAAUGGGCGAAAGCCUGACGCAGCAACGCCGCGUGUGUGAUGAAGGUCUUCGGAUCGUAAAGCACUGUCGCGAGGGACG
RNAcentral lists this ribosomal RNA (394 nucleotides) under uncultured Anaeromyxobacter sp. RNAcentral describes it as "bacterial SSU rRNA". It matches the Rfam family "Bacterial small subunit ribosomal RNA", at positions 67 to 447 of the family's 1533-position model. Lineage: Bacteria; Pseudomonadati; Myxococcota; Myxococcia; Myxococcales; Anaeromyxobacteraceae. The record is from RNAcentral.